CACGGAGUUAGCCGGGGCUUAUUCUCCCGGUACAGUCAUUAUCUUCCCGGGUAAAAGAGCUUUACAACCCUAAGGCCUUCAUCACUCACGCGGCAUUGCUGGAUCAGGCUUGCGCCCAUUGUCCAAUAUUCCCCACUGCUGCCUCCCGUAGGAGUCUGGGCCGUGUCUCAGUCCCAGUGUGGCUGAUCAUCCUCUCAGACCAGCUACGGAUCGUCGCCUUGGUAGGCCUUUACCCCACCAACUAGCUAAUCCGACGCGGGCUCAUCCUCGGGCGAUAAAUCUUUGGUCUUAUCGACAUCAUCCGGUAUUAGCAGUCGUUUCCAACUGUUAUUCCGAACCCAAGGGCAGAUUCCCACGCGUUACGCACCCGUGCGCCACUAUGCCCGAAAGCAUCGUUCGACUUGCAUGUGUUAGGCAUGCCGCCAGCGUUCGUUCUGAGCCAGGAUCAAACUCU
RNAcentral lists this ribosomal RNA (454 nucleotides) under uncultured Sphingomonas sp. Its description in RNAcentral is "partial 16S ribosomal RNA". Lineage: Bacteria; Pseudomonadati; Pseudomonadota; Alphaproteobacteria; Sphingomonadales; Sphingomonadaceae. The record is from RNAcentral.